RNAcentral lists this ribosomal RNA (197 nucleotides) under uncultured bacterium. RNAcentral's name for it is "partial 16S ribosomal RNA". It matches the Rfam family "Bacterial small subunit ribosomal RNA", at positions 328 to 539 of the family's 1533-position model. The record is from RNAcentral.
ACGCUCGACACCUACGGAGGCAGCAGUGGGGAAUAUUGCACAAUGGGGGAAACCCUGAUGCAGCGACGCCGCGUGAGCGAAGAAGUAUCUCGGUAUGUAAAGCUCUAUCAGCAGGGAAGAAGAUGACGGUACCUGACUAAGAAGCACCGGCUAAAUACGUACCAGCAGCCGCGGUAAUCUGAGCGGGCUGGCAAGGC